This is a non-coding RNA of Arachis ipaensis, 122 nucleotides long. NCBI's taxonomy places the organism in Eukaryota, Viridiplantae, Streptophyta, Magnoliopsida, Fabales, Fabaceae. The record is from RefSeq and is a predicted model, not a curated record.
AGGCAUAUUUUGGAGAUUAAAGAGAGACUUUACAACUAUCAAAAAGAGGUGCUGAGCUUUCAUAUGGUAAAGUGGUUGAAACAAAAGUUUCCGAGCGUUGAGAAGGAAGAAUAGCAAUACCA